CAGCCGCCGCGGUAAUACGGAGGGGGCUAGCGUUGUUCGGAAUUACUAGGCGUAAAGCGCACGUGGGCGGCUUUGUAAGUUAGAGGUGAAAGCCCGGAGCUCAACUCCGGAAUUGCCUUUAAGACUGCAGAGCUAGCAGGUGAGAGAGGUGAGUGGAAUUCCGAGUGUAGAGGUGAAAUUCGUAGAUAUUCGGAAGAACACCAGUGGCGAAGGCGGCUCACUGGCUCAUACUGGACGCUGAGGUGCGAAAGCGUGGGGAGCAAACAGGAUUAGAUACCCCAGUAGUCCCUGUCUCUUAUAA
RNAcentral lists this ribosomal RNA (301 nucleotides) under uncultured bacterium. RNAcentral describes it as "partial 16S ribosomal RNA". It matches the Rfam family "Bacterial small subunit ribosomal RNA", at positions 509 to 809 of the family's 1533-position model. The record is from RNAcentral.